UCCUUUGAAGCAUAAUGGUGUGGCUUUGUUUAUAGGAUUAAUCUACAUAUUGUGCUUUACUAUUCGGCCCGGUAACAUAAUUUAUUGAUUAUUGAAAGAAGAGGUCUGUGAUUAUAAUGGUUUAUUCAUUCAAAUUUAUGUGUAUCGUCAUGUCUUGGUGUAUUUGGACCGUUAGUCAUUGGCAUAUGGUAGUUCUUUUAUGGUUCCUAUUUUUAAAUACCUCACUCUCGGUGUCCAUUUUAACCAUUUUGUUGAUACAUUUCAUGGUACAAUGAUGUUAUUUGAGGAAAAUGGACAUUUUUAAUCUAUACAUCUAGACUAUAUAUUGACCGACAAAACAAAUAAUUGUACUUUUUCACACAAUUUGAAAUGAUGUUCGGCCACAUUCACAUUUAGAAGCUUACCAUGUUCUACAAGUUGAGAUUAAUAGUAUAUAGUUUAAUAUAUGAUUUUAAUUUUGUCUAAUGCAAUUUUCUUCUCAAUAACUGCACUAUACAUUUAAAGAUGUAUUAGCAUUAGAACUUGACCUUCUCUAUCACAUAUUGAACUGAACGAAUUUCUUAUUUAUAUAUAGAAAUUCACGUGACAGUGUGUCAUGCUAGAUGAAGGGACUAAAAAACAUGUGCGCAGUGCUAUCACAAGUGGAAAUGGACUCUUUGUUCUAUUGAGACUGUAAAAACCACACCAAAUAUUGUGUGCAGUUGUCGGACCCAAAGAGGACAAACUACCAAGCUUGAUGAAGAAUUCAUUUUUGGUCUACCAUUGAAUCUGGAUGUUGUAUGUUAUCUAAUUACUUUCUAUCAUAAGAGUGAAUGCAAUUUGAUUAUGAACUAUAUAGCAAGUAAAUUCUAGAAUGCAAUUUGAUUAUGAACUAUAUAGCAAGUAAAUUAUAGAAAUAUCAAUUGCAAAACUUUAAAUAAGUCUAAUUCUUUAUAAUCAUUCACUUAUUUUUUAUUAAGGUCUUCAUUUCUAUAUGAAGUGUAGGCUCUACUUUCAGAUUGAUAAGUGAAUGAUUUGGAAAAUGCAUAACUUGAAACCAAAUGCCUUCUUCCCAAACGAAAUUGGCCAAAGUUGGUAAAGGAGAAAUAGUUGUUACAGCGCAUCAAUUGCGUUGAAGAUGUACAAGCUAAAACAUACUGGUAGCUUUUAUAAUUUAGUCCUUUUACAUUGGUAGAAAAUGUUUGAAUUUCUGGAAUUUGCAGCAUAUCAUUUAUGUCCAGCAAUUUCUGUAGUAAUUAUAAAUUGCUAUAAUUUUCAGGUGGGGUGCAACUUAAGGGUCCAGCUAUAGACACAGUCCUUGCAUUAAUGUAAUAUUUUCUUCAAAUUGGACAAGUGAUUGACCAAAUGCACAGUUUCAAAGGCUUUGAAAUAUUUCAUAUUAUUGGGCCUUUGCUUAGCAACACAAUCAGUGUGAUAUGUUUUUGUUCUAUAAAAAACAAGUAAUGGCAACAAACCAUUCGUUCCUCAAUCCAUCGUCAGCGGCAUCACUCCUUCAACCUACACAGUAACUUGAACAUGAUCGAAGGAAUGUGCAGCUUCAGCCUAUCCUUGGGAAAUAAACCUAAAUUGAAAGAGCAUAUGCAAUAAUGUGUUGGUCAUGCUGAGGAGAUUAAAAAGCUUGCUAAAGUUCACACUCAGCAUCUCUGUCUUCAAGUCAUUAAUUUUUCAAGUUUCAUGGUCCUCGCCCUGUCAGACGGAAUCGAGUUAAAGCGUAUUUAUAUAGUUUACCAUUGCUACGAAGGAAAAGAGUAUGAAAAGAUUUGGCUUCAUUUAUCAAGUAUAAAAGAUAUAUGAGUAAAUAUUCGUUGAAUCCAUUAUUGCAUGAUCCCCGUAGGAUCUACCUUUGAUGACUUGAGAGUGUUGACCACAUGGACUUUCGGAACAUAUUUUUUCUGCAGUGAUGUUGCUAUUCAACCAACAACCACGAUAAAAAGGGCAAUAACCAUUCGGACCAUGGAUUCAAAUUGCGGUCCACGUCCGCAAUUGUGCCGCAAUAUUGCUUAUGGUAGCCUUUACAGUUGCAUCACACUGCAAUUGCAGCGUGAUUUUCAAUCCCGUGUGCGGCCACAUCAAGAAUUGCAUCAGACGAUUUCAACUAUAUUUGUUCAAAUUUUCUCACAAAAAUUUAAAUUUUAGUACUCAAAUUUCAAUCAACUUUAGAUCUAAUGAAAAAAUUUACAUUUGACGGUUUCUCAACUUUGUAUUUCAAGCACCUUUCAAUUAGUAUUUACGAAGUAAACUAAAAUUGUGCUAUAUAUGUGAGGAAAUAGUGUAU
This is a long non-coding RNA of Trifolium pratense (red clover), 2275 nucleotides long. RefSeq lists it as uncharacterized. The transcript is spliced from 8 exons. Lineage: Eukaryota; Viridiplantae; Streptophyta; Magnoliopsida; Fabales; Fabaceae. The record is from RefSeq and is a predicted model, not a curated record.